GGGCGAUUGGCUCAGUUGGUUAGAGCGCACGGUUCACAUCCGUGAGGUCACUGGUUCGAAUCCAGUAUCGCCCACCA
Molecule: transfer RNA, 77 nt
Filed under: Gemmatimonas sp.
Lineage: Bacteria; Pseudomonadati; Gemmatimonadota; Gemmatimonadia; Gemmatimonadales; Gemmatimonadaceae
Also listed under: 4 other names
Description: tRNA-Val
Rfam family: tRNA
About the family: Transfer RNA (tRNA) molecules are approximately 80 nucleotides in length. Their secondary structure includes four short double-helical elements and three loops (D, anti-codon, and T loops).
Source: RNAcentral